RNAcentral lists this ribosomal RNA (251 nucleotides) under uncultured bacterium. RNAcentral describes it as "partial 16S ribosomal RNA". It matches the Rfam family "Bacterial small subunit ribosomal RNA", at positions 524 to 776 of the family's 1533-position model. The record is from RNAcentral.
UACAGAGGGUGCGAGCGUUAAUCGGAAUUACUGGGCGUAAAGCGUGCGUAGACGGUAGCGUAAGUCAGAUGUGAAAGCCCCGGGCUCAACCUGGGAAUUGCAUUUGAGACUGCUCUGCUCGGGUGCGGAAGAGGGAAGCGGAAUUUCCGGUGUAGCGGUGAAAUGCGUAGAUAUCGGAAGGAACACCAGUGGCGAAAGCGGCUUCCUGUCCGACACCGACGUUCAGGCACGAAAGCGUGGGAGCAAACAGG